RNAcentral lists this ribosomal RNA (376 nucleotides) under uncultured bacterium. RNAcentral's name for it is "bacterial SSU rRNA". It matches the Rfam family "Bacterial small subunit ribosomal RNA", at positions 523 to 897 of the family's 1533-position model. The record is from RNAcentral.
AUACGUAGGUGGCAAGCGUUGUCCGGAUUUACUGGGCGUAAAGGAUGCGUAGGCGGAUUUUUAAGUCAGAUGUGAAAACCCCGGGCUCAACUUGGGGACUGCAUUUGAAACUGGGAAUCUAGAGUGCGGGAGAGGAAAGUGGAAUUCCUAGUGUAGCGGUGAAAUGCGUAGAGAUUAGGAAGAACACCAGUGGCGAAGGCGACUUUCUGGACCGUAACUGACGCUGAGGCAUGAAAGCGUGGGUAGCAAACAGGAUUAGAUACCCUGGUAGUCCACGCCGUAAACGAUGAGUACUAGGUGUAGGAGGUAUCGACUCCUUCUGUGCCGCAGUUAACACAAUAAGUACUCCGCCUGGGAAGUACGAUCGCAAGAUUAA